Meriones unguiculatus (Mongolian gerbil) is the source of this 996-nucleotide long non-coding RNA. RefSeq lists it as uncharacterized. The transcript is spliced from 4 exons. Lineage: Eukaryota; Metazoa; Chordata; Mammalia; Rodentia; Muridae. The record is from RefSeq and is a predicted model, not a curated record.
UGCCGCAUUAAACACUGCCCCUUUAAGACUGAAGAAGUUGUGAAUGCAUACAGGCAAAGCUUGGGGCCAGACGACUCCUGAAUGAGUCGUCACAUCAAUGUGACAUGAACGAGAAGUCCUGAACUGAUCCCUGCAAUGUCUUGAGUGGAGGCUGGUAUCCAGCAGCACACACCAGCUGCAAGAGCUGCUUGUUCUUCUGAUAGUGGAUCUUGGCCUUUUCCUGCCGCUUCUCCUCAAGAGUGGCUGUCACUGCCUGGUACUUCUACCCAACCUCAUGAGCCAGAUGCCCCAGAACUUACGGUUUUUGCUGUUUGUUUCACCUCUUCUCUUUUCAAUGGAAACUCCAUGAAGGCAAAUCUUUCAGCUCACCCCAGGAAAAGCCCGGCAUGGACAACAGUGUCAACUAAGAAACAGCCCUCAGGAGCCACCGAGGAAACACAUGAAGCAAGGUCCCGACGUUGUCCAACAGGGUCACCUGGAAACUUUGAGAACCAUCUCCACACAGAUUCCAUGAGCUUCAACCCUACAAACAGAACUCUACAGACAGCUCUUAAAUCUUGUCUUUUCAACUGGGUAUACCCACUAGGCUUUGUAAAUAUUCCCAGUUCUCAUCUCUUACUUGAUAGUGUCCAAAGAGAGCCUCUUUCUCCUUAUACUGCCCCAGUUGUCAGAACUUUCAUUGCUUUUAUCUUUGCUUGUAAACCAGCCACUUCUCUCCUAAGCCCGUCUCUUCCCUACACUGUCAUACACUGGUGGCACAGUCACACCACGAUCCUUGCCAACACUUGGCUCGGUUGGUAUGAGGCUCUUUCAAGGACCUCUAAUGACAAACUGACCAAUUUGGUCACAGCUGGAUCACAUGACCCGUCUUCCCCUCCAUCAUCUGACUCAUCUGCUCACUGGUGUACUCCUAUAUGUCGGGCAACACCACCCACUUUUAAGUUUUAUUAGUGAUAGUACUAUAAGAAAAACGAAAGCUUUAAUCAUUUAACACAA